UCCCCUCACUGUGUUGGGGGAAAAGAUGGCGGUGUAGAGUGACGGGCGGCGCACCUCUAGCCCUCGCCCCGUGCUUUCUUCGAUUGUAAAACUUGACUAUGGAAGAAGUGGAGGAGGAGAUGGAAGGGGAGGAUAAUUGAACCUCCCUCCUAUAUAAAAACGGUAUUCAUGAGUGAUGUAAACUUCUAAAAAGGCAUUAAAUCAGGGGAGAAAACAGACGAAAGGAAAGACUGAACCUUCUACAGAGAGGGCGAGUCGGUCGGUCAAUCGGUGGGUUCCCGAAUACUCUCUACCUCGUGUCAUACUCGCAUCUGUCAACAAUCACCAACCCCGGGAUAUUUGGCCUCAUCUUCCUGCCUGUCAACCACCACCAGGGCGCCACCGUCAACUUACACCUACACAUACAGACCAGGGAGGACCCCGCCCCUCCUGACGUGUGGGUGCUCUAGCGUUCACCUGUUGCUGUGUGCCUCACCUUGCGGCACGCCCACCUCGUGACCCUUGACCUGUGUGGGUGACGUCAUACUUGAGGGGAGAGUGUUGAGGGAAGGAGCAGGAUGCCCUACCCACAGUGCUGCCAGGAUGCUGCCUCCCGCUGACACCCGCAGCGACUGGUGCCACUACCUCGCCCCCCGGGAGGCUCUCACUUCCUCCCUCACUUGUCACCUAUCAUGUCUACUACUGUGUUGAGGCACGAGCGACUCCCAGCAACUUAAGUCAAGAUCUUCUCAGUGUGACCUGAUCCUCUGUGACCUUCAGCAGUGUUGACGACCCACAACUCUAAGUCGUCCUCUACCUUUGUGAGCGGCACGAGCGGAAGUGACUCAGCCGCUCCCCGACACCUGCUAGCAACAGCUGGUACACACCUGGUGCUGCCGCAGCCUCCAUCACCCACACCCCGCCGUGCUACCUCUACACCCACCUCCCACACCCGCCGCCACACGACUCUCCUCUAUAUAAGUGUCAUUAUAACAUUUCUUGUGAACAACACUGUAUGUGACAGUCGCCUGUGCUUGUGCUAAGCUAAGUGUUAUAGCAGCAAUAAUGUGUUGACGUGAUUAAUUCCUGAGUGUGCUGUGUUGUGCUACUGAUGCUGGUGGUGCUCGUCCAGUAGACUCACACUACCUGUGUUAUACUGUAAUUGGGAUGAAGGUGUGAGUUGGUAUUUCACUAGGAUACAAGGAGGUGCAAUAUACGGCUACUUAUCUGUCACUCCCACCUUAUGACUCCCUUACCUGUGACGGAUUAAGUCAAGAAAACUUAUCCCAGGGGAAAGAAGGUGAGAUAUUGGUUACUGUGAGACGUGAGGGAGACUGGCGUGAUCCAGGCGAGUACUGGAGGGAGAGCUAGGAGGUGGUGGUGGCGGGCGGGGGGCGGUGAGGGUGGUGGUAAGACCGCCCAUGCUCACCCCUGGCCCGGCGUCUCUCUAUGUUGAGGAGCGUGGGCGUGUGUUGGCAGGGGGUGGGCCGAGGCAUCUACAAAAGCGAGGGUGGUGUGGGCGGUGUGGGCGUGAGGUCGCCCUCCGUCGCCGCCAUGCUCUACUACUCCGUCGACCCUCAGUUUAGCGCCCUUAUCUUCUCCGUGUGUGGCCGCCAUGAGCGCUUCACCCUCUUCCCCGAUGCCUUUGCCUGUUACGCCCACGGACACCCGGGGGCCACCGACGUCCUGGCCUAUGUCCACACCAUGGGCGUCCAGCUGGCCACCUUGGGCGAUCACUACGCUUGUUUCCUCACUCAAGUACGGGCGGGGAGCGUCAUUUUUUUAGUGGGCGUGGGAUCACUUGUGUGCUGGAAGCUAUGGGAGCACUGGAGAAAUGGUGCCGAUGGCUCCUCCACGCCACCACCCACGCCCACGGCCUCACCACCAGCCCGUCGCCCACGGGGUAUCCUCGCCUCACUUCUGGAGGAGGACCUGGUGCAGGACCCAGAUGAAUACGAGGAUGAGGACCCCGCCUUCAUCCAGCUUAUGUUGGAUUUAAGUCGACAAUACAUCGCGAAGCUGGUCGUGGGGAAGUACUUUGGCCCUGACAGUCCAAGUGAAGAGGUCCCAUGUGAUGAAGGAUCUGUACUGAGUUCUGACGUAAGUGAGGCCAGCAACAGCGAGGCACUCGCCCAACCUUAUCAUGCAGAUGCUAGUGCCUCCUAUUCUGUUGGAGAUGGGGCUUCCUCUUCUGGUGAAGACAGUCUACCCACUGAUGAGGAUUCCGAUGAAGAACUUCGCAAUGGCAACAAGAGAGUUGUUAAGAGGAAGCACAAGGCCUCAGAGCUACAUAAGAAUCAGGCUACUCCAAGACACUGCGUAUCUAAACCCAGCGCUGUCCAGGUGGUGGUGGUUCCUCUCUCUAGUAGUGGAGGCAGGCAGAAAACUGAAGCCAAGAGGCAUCCAUCAACCAACCUCAAUACAACUCCAGCCAUGAAUCAUCCUCUUCAAGAUGGGUGGCUUUCUUCCGAAUCAUCACCUGUUAAUGCAGUAUAUUCCCUGCCUGGCCAGGCACCCCAACGAGACCUCAAACGCCUUCAGGGCGAUGGAUCGGAGACUCCCGACUCUGAGGAAAUGGCUGAGCUAAGAAAACGUCAGCAGCAUGUUGCUCAACUUCAGUCUGGGGGACAUGACGAUGGGGCAGAUUGGCUUCAUGACAGUAGGGCUCAACCUGAGGGAGAAGAGGAGCACCACCAGAGUUCAAACAUCUCCAGCACUUCACUCAGUGACCUCAUGGAAAAAAUACGACAUAGAGGUCACCGGGGAUCAGUAUCUCGUGAUAAUUCAAUUGCUUCCAAUUUAUCAGAACUUGUCACCUCACCUUUAGGGUCCAAGAGAUUUCCUUUCAAGCGAGAAGACUCUGUUUGCUCUAAUUUAUCUGACUUUGCUCCUUCUGAAUGUUCAGAGAUGUCCCUGGAUGUUUCUGUACGAGAAGAUUUGGCGUGCAAGACAUUUACUUGCUUGGAUGACAUUGAGCAGGAGAUAGAUGACCUCAAGUCUUCUAUGUUAGAAAUGGAUGAAGAAGUCACAAAGUUUUCAUCAAGGCCAAACCCAUACACCUUCAAGACCACCUUCUCUGACCACUCUGUUACUUCAGGGGAUUCACGUCCCAACUCAGCCAUGGGGAUUGUUAACGCUCAUCGUUCAAGGGCAAACUUCAAAGGACUCAUAACAGCAAAGACCAAUGGAUCAUCAGACUCUGAGGCUGUAGAAGCAAGUGGAGGUGAGCCAUCACAACCAACCAGCCACGGAGUCUCAGGUUCAGAAGCUGAAGGCUCAUAUGAAUGGGAUUCCCCUCAACACGGCUGGUCUAGUGCUCGUGCUCCUCCUCUCUCACGACUGCCUGAACUUCCAUCUGAAGAUAAUGAAUCAUUGCCUGCAUCAGUGCAGGAUGAUCUGAUGCCAUCCUUGGAGUGGGAUAACGGCUGUUUACGUCAGUAUGCAGAAGCUACGACCUCGCAAGAAGAUCAACUUGAUGAAGUCUUCCACCCUGUAUCUUGUGAUAGCUUUGCAGAGCUUGGAGGCUUUGAAGAAUAUAAAGUAGCAUGUAGAAGGCAACAGCUGUUGCCAGAUCAUUCAUCUCUGGAGUUGGACUUGGAGGAGGAACUAAUGUCCACCACUGGGCCAGUAACAGAAGCACCUGACCUACAUAAUGCCCCAAUGACCAUCUCUAUUGACUCAGCCAUCCACUCUGGCACUGGGUCACGUUCUACCUCUUCCAGCCCACUUCCUCUUGGCUUGGGUCACUCUCUGCUCAGCUCAUCGGGCCUGGCUAGCAGCUCAGAAAUAUCCCCCGCAACUCCUGAUUCUGAAACCACGGGCUGGCCUGGCUGGGAGCGUCGGAUAGGCCCUGGUGAGUUCGGUAGCAAGGCCCGUCGCUACUGGAGCUCGGAAGAGAGCGGGUUUAUGGAAGGUCUUGACGCACCUCUGGACACCUCAUUACACGCGCACCUUUCUCCUGUGCAUGAAAUCAAAGAGAAAGAGGGUUCAGAAAGCAGCACCUCUACUCCUCUGCGUCGUAUUGACAACUGGAACUCCACCGUCACAGACGAAAACAUAAACAACACCAGUGACAACAACCUCAACAACAACCUCAUCAUGGGGAACAAGGCCAGCACAGGCAAUGAUAAUGACCUCCUCUCCUACACCUCCUCUGAUCUAACACCAACUCAGGAUACCCACACAGCUAUUGGACCCAAACUUGAACUUACUAAAUAUGCCAACACAGAAUGGCAGGGUAACACACCGAAGGCACAAAAUAUUAAACAGGUUAUUAAAUCUGCCAUGCCUAAGUAAACACACUAUAAUAUGAGCAGAUUUGUAAUUGCUCAACAUCACUUAUAUUGGGUUACUCUUCCAUUCCCAUUGAACUUAGUUUUACCCAUUUACGGAAAGUACGAGGAGACAACUAUUGUGGCAUACGUGCUGCCUUGUACCAGAUGCUCUCCCUCGGCCUCUCAUU
RNAcentral lists this unclassified non-coding RNA (4441 nucleotides) under Homarus americanus (American lobster). RNAcentral describes it as "uncharacterized LOC121862318, transcript variant X4". Lineage: Eukaryota; Metazoa; Arthropoda; Malacostraca; Decapoda; Nephropidae. The record is from RNAcentral.